RNAcentral lists this ribosomal RNA (253 nucleotides) under uncultured bacterium. RNAcentral's name for it is "partial 16S ribosomal RNA". It matches the Rfam family "Bacterial small subunit ribosomal RNA", at positions 524 to 776 of the family's 1533-position model. The record is from RNAcentral.
UACGUAGGGUGCAAGCGUUGUCCGGAAUUAUUGGGCGUAAAGAGCUCGUAGGCGGUUUGUCGCGUCUGCUGUGAAAACCCGAGGCUCAACCUCGGGCCUGCAGUGGGUACGGGCAGACUAGAGUGCGGUAGGGGAGAUUGGAAUUCCCGGUGUAGCGGUGAAAUGCGUAGAUAUCGGGAGGAACAUCAGUGGCGAAGGCGGCUGCCUGGCCCAAUACUGACACUCAGGUGCGACAGCGUGGGGAGCAAACAGG